CGUGAGUAACCUGCCCCAGACUCUGGGAUAACCCCGAGAAAUCGGAGCUAAUACCGGAUACGAGACGCACGGGCAUCUGUAGCGUCUGGAAAGAAUUUCGGUCUGGGAUGGACUCGCGGCCUAUCAGCUAGUUGGUGAGGUAACGGCCCACCAAGGCGACGACGGGUAGCCGGCCUGAGAGGGCGACCGGCCACACUGGGACUGAGACACGGCCCAGACUCCUACGGGAGGCAGCAGUGGGGAAUAUUGCACAAUGGGCGCAAGCCUGAUGCAGCGACGCCGCGUGGGGGAUGAAGGCCUUCGGGUUGUAAACCCCUUUCAGCAGGGAAGAAGCGAAAGUGACGGUACCUGCAGAAGAAGCGCCGGCUAACUACGUGCCAGCAGCCGCGGUAAUACGUAGGGCGCAAGCGUUGUCCGGAAUUAUUGGGCGUAAAGAGCUCGUAGGCGGUUUGUCGCGUCUGCUGUGAAAACCCGAGGCUCAACCUCGGGCCUGCAGUGGGUACGGGCAGACUAGAGUGCGGUAGGGGAGACUGGAAUUCCUGGUGUAGCGGUGGAAUGCGCAGAUAUCAGGAGGAACACCGAUGGCGAAGGCAGGUCUCUGGGCCGCAACUGACGCUGAGGAGCGAAAGCAUGGGGAGCGAACAGGAUUAGAUACCCUGGUAGUCCAUGCCGUAAACGUUGGGCACUAGGUGUGGGGCUCAUUCCACGAGUUCCGUGCCGCAGCAAACGCAUUAAGUGCCCCGCCUGGGGAGUACGGCCGCAAGGCUAAAACUCAAAGGAAUUGACGGGGGCCCGCACAAGCGGCGGAGCAUGCGGAUUAAUUCGAUGCAACGCGAAGAACCUUACCMAAGGCUUGACAUAUACCGAAAACUCAU
This 875-nucleotide ribosomal RNA is filed under the name Actinotalea fermentans. RNAcentral describes it as "bacterial SSU rRNA". The record is from RNAcentral. Lineage: Bacteria; Bacillati; Actinomycetota; Actinomycetes; Micrococcales; Cellulomonadaceae.